UAACGCGUGGGAAUCUGCCCUUAGGUACGGAAUAACUCAGGGAAACUUGAGCUAAUACCGUAUAAUGACUCCGGUCCAAAGAUUUAUCGCCUGAGGAUGAGCCCGCGUCGGAUUAGCUAGUUGGUGAGGUAAGAGCUCACCAAGGCGACGAUCCGUAGCUGGUCUGAGAGGAUGAUCAGCCACACUGGGACUGAGACACGGCCCAGACUCCUACGGGAGGCAGCAGUGGGGAAUAUUGGACAAUGGGCGAAAGCCUGAUCCAGCAAUGCCGCGUGAGUGAUGAAGGCCUUAGGGUUGU
RNAcentral lists this ribosomal RNA (298 nucleotides) under uncultured Sphingomonadaceae bacterium. Its description in RNAcentral is "partial 16S ribosomal RNA". It matches the Rfam family "Bacterial small subunit ribosomal RNA", at positions 111 to 426 of the family's 1533-position model. The record is from RNAcentral. Lineage: Bacteria; Pseudomonadati; Pseudomonadota; Alphaproteobacteria; Sphingomonadales; Sphingomonadaceae.